This 3710-nucleotide long non-coding RNA is filed under the name Octopus vulgaris (common octopus). Lineage: Eukaryota; Metazoa; Mollusca; Cephalopoda; Octopoda; Octopodidae. The record is from RNAcentral.
AGGAAGAGAGAGAGAGGGAAAUACAAUUAUACAUAGAAUAGGAAGGAGAUAGACAAGAAUAUAGAUAGAAGAGUGAAGGUAAAUGAGAUAUAGAGAAGUGAGAGAGAGAGAGAGAGAUUCAUGGAUGAGAAAAAGAGAGAAAGACAGAUGCAAUAAAGGGAGAGAGAGAGAGAAAGAAUCACAGAGAGGAAAAAGAGAAUAAGAGAGACACUCAGAAGGGAAAAGAGAGAUAAGAGAUAGACACAAGAGAGAAAAAGAGUGGUAGAUACAGAAAACAAGAGAAAUUUAAGAAGAUAUAGAGAGUGGUAGAGGGGGAGAAUUAAGUGAGAAUAGAGAGAGGGGAAAGAGAAGUGGCAUAAAGAGAGAGAGAGAAAAAGAAAGAUAUUCAUAUAGUGGGUACCAGAGGGAGGGAGAGGCAUAUACGUAUAGAGGGGGAAAGAGUGAAAGGCAGAGACACAGACAGAGAGGGACAGAUGCUGUGUACCAUGGGGGAGAAGAACAAGUGAACAAGAACCACAACAAACACGGAGUAAUAUUAAUAGUAGUAAUAAUAAUAUUAUUAUUAUUAUUAACAGUGUCAUCUGUAGAAGACUAGUUGUAGGUAUAAUUAAUAUAAUCUUCUGUAAUAUAUAUAUAUACAUAUACACACACACACACACAUAUAUAUAUACACAAGUUGUGUUUGUUGUAGUCACCGUCCUUAUCGCUGUCACAAUCCUAUUGUGUUAUAUAUAUAUAUAUAUAAUAUAUAUAUAUGAGUGUGUGUAUAUAUUUUUACGUCUUUAAAAAAAUGUAUUGUACAUAUGGGUGUAUGGGUGUGUUAUAAAUGAUUAAUAAACUCAUGUGUGAGUGUAUAAGCUAGACACAUAUACAUACAUAUAUCUGGUCACACACACACCAGUUUCUAACCAGAUGCACUCACUCACAUAAUUCUGUGAAGGUAUAUAUAUAUAUAUAUAUGUAUAUAUAAUAUAUAUGCAAACACACAAAUAUAUACAUGUAUAAUAUUUAGAUACAAACACAAUUCUGUUUCACAAAUGAAAUUAUUUACCAAAAGGAAAGAAAAUAAUCACAAAAAUAAAGCUGUCAAAGAAAUUGAAGAAUCAAAUAUUCAAAAUAUAUAUAAGCAAACAAAAACAAGGAAUCCACAUUAAUUGAAAGGAAAUUAAGGCAGUAAAAAUAUAAUGAAUACUAAUAGUGAUAUAAUGAAUAAUAAUAAUAUUAAUAAUAAUAAUAAUGAUAUUAAUUAUGAUGAAGAAAACACUAAUAAUCUGUAAUCUACACCAUGGAUACAUUCGGUCAUCAAGUGGAAAGGAGUAAAUGAAGAAUUUGUUUCUACUGUAUGGAGUAGACUACAAUCUACGAGGAAUGAACACCCAGUCUUGGAGGGAAUAACAUCAGUUGUUGGUAGGUUUCUACACAAUUAUAUAUAGUAUUAUUAUUUUAAACCAAAAAACCACAGGCAUUUUAUUCUAAAUUUGAUUUCUGUCCUUCUGUCUUUUCUCUCCCCCAUUUUGGUAUUUCUGUUUUCUUCUGUCUUCAGCCUUGUUCCACUGUGAAAAAUUUGUCAUUUACCAAAGCUGUACAUGUAUAUAUAAUGUGUAAUAUAUGAAUAAUGUGUAUAUAAAUGUGUGUUUAUGGCGAAUAUGUAUCUAUAUAAUGUGUAUUAUGUGUAUAUACAUUGUGCAUAUUAUGAAUAUAAAUAUAUGUAAGGUGUAUACAUGUGUGAGUAUAUAUGACUUUAUGUAUCUAGCAUACGAAAAGAAGUAAAACCUAAGUGCAGAUUUCUUAUAUAUAGUACAUAUUCUAAUGUUAUAUAUUUGAAAGUUUAUAUAUAUAUACACACCCACUCUACAUAUAUAAACAUACCUACACUAAUAUAUAUUUAUAUAUAUGUGUGUGUAUAUAUAUAUAUAUAUAUAUAUAGUAGCUUAUGUACACAUAUUACUAUGUAUACACACACUCAAACAUACAAUAUAUGUAGAUUAUACACUAUAUAAACACUGAAUGUAUAUUAUACCCUCUAAUAUAUGAGAUAUAUUUGUACUUUAUUUCUGACCACUUCCGUUCUCAAAAUACAUUGUAUAUACUUUUAAUUUUUUUUAGACAUUCAUCGCUUAUGAACUUGCGAGAUUUUUGUGUGUAUAUAUAUGUAUAUAAUAUAUAUAUGUAUGUAUAUAUACAAACAUACAUAUGUAAAUGUAGCCCAACCAAUUUCUUUAUGAUAGACUGGGUGGAUUGUAUGACAUUGCCAUGAAGUGGGGGAUCAUUAUAGUGCAAGGAACAAUGUGAAGUCGGUCACUCACUUAAUGUUCACAUAACAUACAUUGGUUAGGAGAGGGAAUAUCACUGACACCAUACCAGCUCUUAAUUGUUGCGGUUGUUUAGGCCUAAAUCAUCUUUGAUCGAAUAGAUAUCUACACUUGAAAACGAGUCAUCCAGGUCAUCUCUGAUGAAACAGAUCUUAGGCCUAUGAUCAAAGUGAUUCCAGCUACGACUUUUCCCCUUUUUUUUUUGUUUUCCCCUCCCCUAUAUCUUGGGAAUCCGAGUCCAUAUUAAAGUGUCUGUUCUAAGUUGAUGGUUAUAAUGUGCUUUGAGGUGUAUGUAAGUUGUUUUCUUGUAGGUCAAGCGACCACUUCAGGGACAGAAGAGAUUUCCCUUCUGGGUCCUCCUGUCUGUCAGUGGUUUCAAAUUGGGGUUAUAAACGAGAAUAAGUCUGUUUUAUUCAUCACUACUGUUGUUGAACAGACAUCAGGCUCAUUGCUUUACAACUGCACUCUUCUACUUCCUUUCUCCUUAAUAAACAUUUACUGAGCAAAAGCUCAAUUCGUUGUGUAUAUAUAUGUACUAGAUAUUACGUAUGUACAUUAUCUAUCUAUCUAUCUAUCUAUCUAUCUAUCUAUCUAUCUAUCUAUCUAUAUGCUGCGUAUAUAUAUAUAUACACGCUCACUGUCAUUGUGUGGUGUAUGUAUAUAUAUAUAUACACACACAUACAGGCAUGUAUAUUUGUGUGUGUAUAAACACGUACGUGUAUAUAUAUAUAUGUACGUAUAUGUGUAUGCAUAGAUGCGUAAAUGUUUGUAUACCGACAUCAAACAUUUCUUACUUCGUUCUUCCCAUCCGUAUCUUUAUAAUACUAUGAGCUGUUUUGUGUAUAGUCUUAUUAAAUGAAAUAUUAUGUAGCCAGAAGUGUGUAUAUCAUUAUAAACAACGUUUUAAUGUCCGUCGAAAAUGUUUAACACGAAAUAACUGUCAAUUACUCUGCUAAAUAACUCUCACACAUACAAUUAUGGUUUGAUGUAUGUACGUAGAUAUUUGUCUGGGUAGAGGGCACUUUGUCGUGUGUUAAUGCUAAAUUCAUCCUUAAUUCUGUAUCCUUUGUGUCUAUUGCCUUCGUACACCCUGAGGGAUCGGAUUAAUCCAAGAGUUGUCUUUUAUCUUCCCUUUCUGCAUGUCGAACACCCUUUUCUUCGGUGUUAAUAAAUAUCGUUAUAUGAAAAGUUAUUUCUCAAGAACUGCUGGGAGAGAAUUCUAGCUGUUACUACAAAUUGUUGUUAUAAUUAUUAUUAUUAGUAUUAUUUAUUAUUUGCUAACGUAGUGGUUACGCUUAUUAGAUGUUUGAAACGUCCCCUCUUUGUCUCUUUUCAUCGUUUCCAUCCAUAUACACCAUUCCAUACACACCGAUUCCAGUUGAAAUAUCAAGAGAUUGC